CUGCGAAUAUUCUCACUGUUCUGAUUUUGUAAUAAUCAGGCAGGCUAACCAUUCUCUGUGUUAAGACCAUGCAUGUGUCCCCAGACCUAGUUCUUUCCCUAGUACUGAUUUUAUGAAUGCUGGUGAUACAA
Small nucleolar RNA from Phyllostomus hastatus (greater spear-nosed bat), 131 nucleotides. RefSeq annotates it as small nucleolar RNA SNORA72. NCBI's taxonomy places the organism in Eukaryota, Metazoa, Chordata, Mammalia, Chiroptera, Phyllostomidae. The record is from RefSeq and is a predicted model, not a curated record. The transcript has a single exon.